Molecule: ribosomal RNA, 60 nt
Filed under: uncultured organism
Description: partial 16S ribosomal RNA
Source: RNAcentral
UACCCUUGACAUACAGUAGAUUUAACAGAGAUGUUGAAGUGCCUUCGGGAAUACUGAUAC